UCCCAGACUCCUACGGGAGGCAGCAGUAGGGAAUCUUUCACAAUGGGCGAAAGCCUGAUGGAGCGACGCCGCGUGCGGGACGAAGGCCUUCGGGUCGUAAACCGCUUUCAGCAGGGACGAGGCCCUCACGGUGACGGUACCUGCAGAAGAAGCCCCGGCUAACUACGUGCCAGCAGCCGCGGUAAUACGUAGGGGGCGAGCGUUAUCCGGAUUCAUUGGGCGUAAAGCGCGCGUAGGCGGCCUGUUAGGUCGGGGGUCAAAUACCGGGGCUCAACUCCGGUCCGCCCCCGAUACCGGCAGGCUUGAGUCUGGUAGGGGAAGGCGGAAUUCCCAGUGUAGCGGUGGAAUGCGCAGAUAUUAGGAGGAACACCAGUGGCGAAGGCGACUUUCUGGACUGUACCUGACGCUGAGGCGCGAAAGCGUGGGUAGCGAACGGGAUUAGAUACCCGAGUAUG
This 455-nucleotide ribosomal RNA is filed under the name uncultured bacterium. RNAcentral describes it as "bacterial SSU rRNA". It matches the Rfam family "Bacterial small subunit ribosomal RNA", at positions 329 to 793 of the family's 1533-position model. The record is from RNAcentral.